UAGACCCUAAUGCCAAUUUCACUUCUGAUGACUUUCGCCAUCAUGCAUCCGAUGCCGUCAAAUCCAUCCUCGCGCGUGAUCGACUACCAAUCAUCGCCGGUGGUUCGAACUCUUUCAUCGAGGCUUUGGCAAAUGAUGAUCCUGAAUUUCGAUUGAGGUACGAAUGUUGCUUCCUAUGGGUGGAUGUAUCUUUGCCUGUGCUGCAUUCAUUUGUAUCUGAAAGAGUCGAUCGAAUGGUGAAAGCGGGAUUGGUUAACGAGGUGAGAAGCAUGUUUGAUCCUACCAAAACUAACUAUUCACAAGGAAUCAGGCGAGCAAUUGGUGUCCCUGAAUUGGAUCAAUAUUUCCGCAAUGAAGCAGUCGUGGACGCCAAAACACGAGCCAAGCUGCUCGACGUAGCUUUUGCAAAAAUUAAAGAAAAUACUUGUAUGCUAGCGUGUCGUCAAUUGCAAAAAAUCCAUCGACUUUAUAAUCAAUGGAGUUGGAAUAUGCAUCGCAUAGACGCUACAGAAGUUUUUCUAAACAGCGGAGAAGAAGCAUGGGAGAAGCUCGUGGAGGUGCCUAGCUCCAUGAUCGUGGAGGAAUUCCUUUACUAUGGCGAUCAUAUGGCUACCAUUGUACCAUCAGAGACCGUGCCUGUGAUGGCUUCCACGGGGAUGCCAAUUUCUAUUCCUGCGAUGGCAGCGGCGGUAACUCGAUAGAGGUGCUGAGGGACCCAUAGAAUCUUGGUCUUGACUCUUGAUUGGUCUUUCCUUGACAAUUUUGGUAUUUGCAAGUGUGUAUUA
Molecule: unclassified non-coding RNA, 785 nt
Filed under: Hevea brasiliensis (rubber tree)
Lineage: Eukaryota; Viridiplantae; Streptophyta; Magnoliopsida; Malpighiales; Euphorbiaceae
Source: RNAcentral